UACAGAGGGGCAAGCGUUGUUCGGAAUUACUGGGCGUAAAGGGCGCGUAGGCGGCCUUCUAAGUCGAACGUGAAAUCCCCGGGCUCAACCCGGGAACUGCGUCCGAUACUGGAAGGCUUGAAUCCGGGAGAGGGAUGCGGAAUUCCAGGUGUAGCGGUGAAAUGCGUAGAUAUCUGGAGGAACACCGGUGGCGAAGGCGGCAUCCUGGACCGGCAUUGACGCUGAGGCACGAAAGCCAGGGGAGCAAACGGG
RNAcentral lists this ribosomal RNA (252 nucleotides) under uncultured bacterium. Its description in RNAcentral is "partial 16S ribosomal RNA". It matches the Rfam family "Bacterial small subunit ribosomal RNA", at positions 524 to 776 of the family's 1533-position model. The record is from RNAcentral.